Molecule: ribosomal RNA, 459 nt
Filed under: uncultured bacterium
Lineage: Bacteria
Description: partial 16S ribosomal RNA
Rfam family: Bacterial small subunit ribosomal RNA
Source: RNAcentral
CCUACGGGAGGCAGCAGUGAGGAAUAUUGGUCAAUGGGCGGGAGCCUGAACCAGCCAAGUCGCGUGAGGGAUGACGGCCCUAUGGGUUGUAAACCUCUUUUGUCGGGGAGCAAAGUGACGCACGUGUGAGGCUUGGAGAGUACCCGGAGAAAAAGCAUCGGCUAACUCCGUGCCAGCAGCCGCGGUAAUACGGAGGAUGCGAGCGUUAUCCGGAUUUAUUGGGUUUAAAGGGUGCGCAGGCGGAGGCGUAAGUCAGCGGUAAAAUUGCGGGGCUCAACCCCGUCGUGCCGUUGAAACUGGGUGCCUUGAGUGGGCGAGAAGUACGCGGAAUGCGUGGUGUAGCGGUGAAAUGCAUAGAUAUCACGCAGAACUCCGAUUGCGAAGGCAGCAUACCGGCGCGCAACUGACGCUGAAGCACGAAGGCGUGGGUAUCGAACAGGAUUAGAUACCCCUGUAGUC